This 244-nucleotide ribosomal RNA is filed under the name uncultured bacterium. Its description in RNAcentral is "partial 16S ribosomal RNA". It matches the Rfam family "Bacterial small subunit ribosomal RNA", at positions 29 to 300 of the family's 1533-position model. The record is from RNAcentral.
AACGAACGCUGGCGGCAGGCCUAACACAUGCAAGUCGAACGCUCGUAGCAAUACGAGAGUGGCAGACGGGUGAGUAACACGUGGGAACCUUCCCUAUGGUUCGGAAUAGCUCAGGGAAACUUGAGGUAAUACCGGAUAAGCCCUUCGGGGAAGGAUUAUCGCCAUGGAUGGGCCCGCGUCGGAUUAGCUAGUUGGUGAGGUAACGGCUCACCAAGGCGGCGGAUCCGUAGCUGGUCUGAGAGGA